RNAcentral lists this transfer-messenger RNA (357 nucleotides) under Aequoribacter fuscus. RNAcentral describes it as "Standard tmRNA". It matches the Rfam family "transfer-messenger RNA". Rfam says of the family: Bacterial tmRNA, also known as 10Sa RNA or SsrA, is named for its dual tRNA and mRNA-like properties. Its role is to liberate the mRNA from a stalled ribosome. To accomplish this part of the tmRNA is used as a reading frame that ends in a translation stop signal. Lineage: Bacteria; Pseudomonadati; Pseudomonadota; Gammaproteobacteria; Cellvibrionales; Halieaceae. The record is from RNAcentral.
GGGGGCGUUAUGGAUUCGACGACGGUGACAAAACCUGAGGUGCAUGCCGUGAUGACAGCCAAUCACGUUAAUCCAAAGCUGUAACUUAAUAGUUGCCAACGACGACAACUACGCUUUAGCGGCUUAAACCCCGCUAACGGUCUAUCGCAAGGUGCCUGUACCGCGCGUGUGACUGUCAUAUAGAACAGGAUCGCAGCAAAGUAUGCCUUGGGCGGCGCUGUUAAACUUUUACAAGGCUCGUGUUGCACGUCCUGCCCGUCGGGCUGUGCCGCACUAAAUCAGUAGACGGAAUCUAAGCAUGUAGAGCCGAUGGCAGAGUGCUGGCGGACGCGGGUUCAACUCCCGCCGCCUCCACCA